AUACCACUUGGAAACAGGUGCUAAUACCGGAUAAGAAAGCAGAUCGCAUGAUCAGCUUUUAAAAAAGGCGGCGUAAGCUGUCGCUAUGGGAUGGCCCCGCGGUGCAUUAGCUAGUUGGUAAGGUAAAAGGCUUACCCAAGGCGAUGAUGCAUAGCCCGAGUUGAGAGACUGAUCGGGCCACAUUGGGGACUGAGACACGGGGCCCAAAACUCCUACGGGGGGAGGGGCAGCAGUAGGGGGAAUCUUCCACAAUGGACGCAAGUCUGAUGGAGCAACGCCGCGUGAGUGAAGAAGGUUUUCGGAUCGUAAAGCUCUGUUGUUGGUGAAGAAGGAUAGAGGUAGUAACUGGCCUUUAUUUGACGGUAAUCAACCAGAAAGUCACGGCUAACUACGUGCCAGCAGCCCGGUAAU
RNAcentral lists this ribosomal RNA (411 nucleotides) under uncultured Lactobacillus sp. RNAcentral's name for it is "bacterial SSU rRNA". It matches the Rfam family "Bacterial small subunit ribosomal RNA", at positions 143 to 524 of the family's 1533-position model. Lineage: Bacteria; Bacillati; Bacillota; Bacilli; Lactobacillales; Lactobacillaceae. The record is from RNAcentral.